AUUAUUGGGAGUGUAAAUAUUUGUUAGUAGAUAAGGAAUAUGAAAACAAAAAGUUAUGGCGGUAUCUUAAGCUUUUCAGAGGAAUUUGCUCUUUAAUGGAUAAAACACCAAAAUCUUACUAAAUUUAGUUAAGUCAGUUUGUAUACCACUAUGCAAGCAAUUAUUAAUUAUAAUUGCUGUAAUUUUUAAAAAAAAAAAUAAAUUAAGUCAAGGUGCAGCAAAAAAUUUAGGAUGAAGUGAAUUACAGAGCUUUUUAGAAAUUUAAAUUUUGAAUUAAAUAAAUUUUAGGAUUUGAAAGUAAAAGUUUUAAUAAAAUGAUUAUUUGAAUUAAGUUCUGAGAUAUGUAC
Molecule: ribosomal RNA, 347 nt
Filed under: Amblyomma cajennense (Cayenne tick)
Lineage: Eukaryota; Metazoa; Arthropoda; Arachnida; Ixodida; Ixodidae
Description: partial 12S small subunit ribosomal RNA
Source: RNAcentral